CUUUAGGAGCCUGAUCGAGACGGUUCGACGCACCUCGCCCGCCACGCAGAUCAUCGUUUCUGGACUGCUUCCUACCUACCGCCGAGGAAAUGAAAGGUUCAGUAGACUUUCGCUCUGAAUGAAUGGCUAUUAACAUGGUGUAAAGAACAGAAAUUGCUCUUUGCCAAUAACUGGAAUCUUUUCUGGGAGCGUCCUAGGCUUUUUCACGUUGACGGGCUGGACCCCAGUCGAGCUGGAGCUGAACUCCUGUCGGACAACAUCUCCAGAAUACUUCUAUUUACGAUCUAUUUGACUAGUUACUCUUCCCGAGUCCCUCAGACUAUGCAGAGUCGAUCUAAGACCAACGACGAGAUGAGUCUAAGGUUUCCAUAUCCUGGACCGGGCCGUAUCCUGAGCAGCUACUGUGAUGGUCAUGGAAGAGUGGAGAACAUGAGACUGAUUCCUGUGACGCUCCAGAGACAGACGAGUCUUCGCUGAGGCCAGCUUCCAGCCUCCGCCGCUGAGACUGCAGCUCUGCACAAGACGUUUGGCCAGCGGAGAAAUUAAAAUGGUCGUGCCCAACUGAGUCUGGUUUCACUCAAGGUUUUUUUCUUCACUUCGCCAAUUAGUGAAGUUUUUUUUCCCUCUCCGCUGUCGCCACUAGCUUGCAUGGUUUGGGAUCUGUAGAGCUGUGCAUUGUUGGAUUUACUCUUCAGUGAGUAUCUCAGUAGUGAUUAUUAAAUCACACUGAACUGAGCUCAACUGAACUGAACUUAAACACUAAAAACUGAACUACACUAUUCCAAUUUACUAUGACCUUUUAUAUGAAGCUGCUUUGACACAAUCUACAUUGUAAAAGCGCUAUACAAAUAAUGGUGAAUUGAAUUGAAUCAUCUGUAAGUGGAAGAUGUUUGGAACCACCAGGACUCUUCCUAGAGUUGGCUGGCCAUCUAAGUGAGGGAUCGGGGGAGAAGGGCCUUAGUCAGGGAGGUGAUCAAUAACCUGAUGGUCACUCUGUCUGAGCUCCAGUGUUCUUCGGUGGAGAGAGGAGAACCUUACAGAAGGACAACCAUCUGUGCAGCAAUCCACCAAUCAGGCCUGUAUGGUAAAGUGGCCAGACGGAAGCCACUCCCCGCCUGGAAUUUGCCAAAAGGCAUCUGAAGGACUCUCAGACCAUAAGAAACAAAAUUCUCUGGUCUGAUGAGACUAAAAUUUAACUCUUUGGAGUGAAUGCCAGGCGUUACGUUUGGAGUAAACCAGGCAGCGCUCAUCACCAGGCUAAUACCAUCCCUACAGUGAAGCAUGGUGGUGGCAGUAUCAUGCUGUGGGGAUGUUUUUCAGCAGCAGGAACUGGAAGACUAGUCAGGAUAGAGGGAAAGAUGAAUGCAGCAAUGUACAGAGACAUCCUGAAUGAAAACCUUCUUCAGAGUGCUCUUGACCUCAGAUCUGUCUGUCUGUUUGUCCGUCCAUCCAUCCAUCCAUCUGUGUUUCCAUCUGUUCUUCUAACUAGCUGUCCAUUUAUUUGUCUAUCAUCUAUCUCAGUCUGUAUAUCUAUUUUUCCGUCUGUCCAUCUAUCUGUCUAUCUAUCUGUCUAUUCAUUUAUCUUUAUCUAUCUAUCUAUCUAUCUAUCUAUCUAUCUAUCUAUCUAUCUAUCUAUCUAUCUAUCUAUCUAUCUAUCUAUCUAUCUAUCUAUCUAUCUAUCUAUCUAUCUAUCCAUCUGUCUAUCUGUCUAUCUGUCUGUCUGUCUGUCUGUCUGUCUAUCUAUCUAUCUAUCUAUCUAUCUAUCUAUCUAUCUAUCUGUCUAUCUGUCUGUCUGUCCGUCUGUCUGUCUGUCUGUCUGUCUGUCUAUCUAUCUAUCUAUCUAUCUAUCUAUCUAUCCGUAAAUUCUCCAACUACUAACUCUGCUGUGACACACUUGAUGUGUUGUGAGAGUAGAGUAUAAAUAUUUGCACCAUGCUGUCUGUCUGUCUGUCUGUCUGUCCAUAUAUUCAUCCAUCGGCCUCUCAAUCCAUCUGUCUCUCUAUCUGUCAAUCUAUCUUUCCCUCUGUUUGUCUAUCUAUCUGUCAAUCUAUCUGUCUGUAGUUAUUAGCUAUGUAUCUACUGUAGCUGUUAUUAGCAGUCUUGGAUUUUUUAUAAUUUAAAAAUCCUCACAUAACAGGAUAGAGGAAAGCAUGGCAAUUAUCUUACAACUGUACACAAUUAAAUAUCAUCCAUAAAAAUGUUUAACCCUAAUAAAUAAAAAUAUAGAGGCCUCCCUUGGACUAAUCCGUAAAUUGUGAAAUCAAUCAGGAUUUGUGCUGAUUAGAGGCGUCCGCACUCUCUCUGUUUCAUCUGGACCGUUGAUCCCUUCCAUGCCCUUAUUAUCAAGGCCUGUCAGCAGAUUAUUGAUACACACUGUUAAUUCAAUCCUAAUUUAAUUUACUUAGUGUCUGCGUAAUUAAUUAGUUGACAUCUGGGGUGAUAAGGCUAGGCUUACGGCGCAACAGAAUACACUGUAUCUCUAUCCGCUUUUCUGACAUCUCUGUCACCCAGUGAUCCUGUCAGGCAUAUUAGCCUUUUUAUAUUUCGCUACAUUGCUCUAUAUCUAGCCAUUUAAUAUGAAGUGAAACGCUCAUCAAACAUUAAAGCCUUUGUGGCAUAAA
Long non-coding RNA from Danio aesculapii, 2621 nucleotides. RefSeq lists it as uncharacterized. The transcript has 2 exons. The record is from RefSeq and is a predicted model, not a curated record. NCBI's taxonomy places the organism in Eukaryota, Metazoa, Chordata, Actinopteri, Cypriniformes, Danionidae.